Molecule: ribosomal RNA, 253 nt
Filed under: uncultured bacterium
Lineage: Bacteria
Description: partial 16S ribosomal RNA
Rfam family: Bacterial small subunit ribosomal RNA
Source: RNAcentral
UACGAAGGGGGCUAGCGUUGUUCGGAAUUACUGGGCGUAAAGGGCGCGUAGGCGGAUUUGCAAGUUAGGGGUGAAAUCCCGGGGCUCAACCCCGGAACUGCCUUUAAAACUGCUAAUCUGGAGUCCCGGAGAGGCAGGCGGAAUUCCCGGUGUAGCGGUGAAAUGCACAGAUAUCGGGAGGAACACCAGUGGCGAAGGCGGCCACCUGGGCCAACACUGACACUGAGGCACGAAAGCGUGGGGAGCAAACAGG